Molecule: long non-coding RNA, 1293 nt
Organism: Gasterosteus aculeatus aculeatus (three-spined stickleback)
Lineage: Eukaryota; Metazoa; Chordata; Actinopteri; Perciformes; Gasterosteidae
Source: Ensembl
CCUCCCUCCUUCCUCCCUCCCUCCUCCCUCCCCCCCUCCUUCUGGAUCUGCAGUGAGCGUCUCAGGAAUAUUCAAAUUGCUCCGUGCUCGGGGGAGCAUGAAGGAUGUGUAACUGAGGUCUCCUGGAUUCCUGCCCGUCCAUUAGCUUUUGUCCGUCCUCGCCGCAUUAAACCUGCGCCGCCUCGACGUCUCCAUCAUCGGAGGCCUCGGCCGAGGGCGGCGACAUUAUUGAAAACCGGCCGAGUCGAACGGGAUCCUUCUGCCUUCGUGUUGGACCACUUCGUAGGGGUCCACGGGGGUUUAGUCCUUUAGUUCACCGCCACAUGGGGGUGUUCUUCAAGGCAGCAUGUGCUGCGUGUGAGAAGAUGUCACAAUGAGUCAAAUUCUCCCCUUUCAAACAUUUGGCUGAAAUAAACUUAAACAAAUACUUUUGUAUUUAUGUCAAAAUGAACAGCGAGGUGGUCUCUGCUCAAACAGAGGUGGUCUCUGCUGCCGCCCCGUUUUAUUUCCAUCUUCAGAAUCAUUUUCAAUGAGGCAGAAAAGGGAAGAAGAAUAAAUCAUGCAGACGUUCUUUUAGCUUUAGUCUUCCUCGGGUCGGGGGGAUUCACAGGGCUCUUUGUGGGGGCUCUAGGUAGCUUUCGCUGGGGUUUAGCAGCGGCUCGCCCCCCCCAGGUCUGGGGAAGGGGGGGGGAGCAUCACUGCUGGCUCAUCACAGGAAUGGGAGGGAGGCAUCGAUGAAACGGGACCCUGUGAUUAUUUAGGUCCACGAGCUGUUAGCCUGAUGGCUUUUUAAUCGCUGCUAAUGGAGUUCCCACUAACGUAAGCACACAGGGGGGUUUGUGGAGCGUGUUAGGACCCCCCCCCCCCCAACACACACACACACACACCAAUUCUCUCUGUCGAGUCUCAUGUCCUUCUUGUUUACUUUUCCGUCCUCAAAGUGAUGACAGGUGAUCGUAACGCUUAGAGACCCGCCUCCUCUGUCAUUACUUAUAGAAAAGUUCUUUCACCUCCAUCCGUCUCCUCACUUCUCCCUGACGCUGCUGCAGUGGAGGGUGUCCUGCUGCGCCCCCCCCCCCCCCCCCUGUGUUUGCCCACCUUCCCCUCUGCUUGGCGCCGCUGACUCGGGCGCCUUGUGAGCAGCGACGUUAGCUGAGAAAACCCUUUGAGCCCAGCUGGUGAUUCUGCUGCAGACGCUCCGAACGUAUCGGCCCGGUGCUGCCGACUCAGCACAGACCAGCGGUUCCCUUUCAUGUGCAUUAAAGCCCCCCCUGCCCCCCCCCCCCUGCCCCC